This 4622-nucleotide small RNA is filed under the name Pan troglodytes (chimpanzee). RNAcentral's name for it is "retained intron". Lineage: Eukaryota; Metazoa; Chordata; Mammalia; Primates; Hominidae. The record is from RNAcentral.
GGCGGCGGUGGCGGCGGCGUGGAAUCCGGCGUGGGCUGGGGGGUCCGAGCCGCGGGGGGCAGUGCCAUGCACAAGCACCAGCACUGCUGUAAGUGCCCUGAGUGCUAUGAGGUGACCCGCCUGGCCGCCCUGCGGCGCCUCGAGCCUCCGGGCUACGGGGACUGGCAAGUCCCCGACCCUUACGGGCCAGGUGGGGGCAACGGCGCCAGCGCGGGUUAUGGGGGCUACAGCUCGCAGACCUUGCCCUCGCAGGCGGGGGCCACCCCCACCCCUCGCACCAAGGCCAAGCUCAUCCCCACCGGCCGGGAUGUGGGGCCGGUGCCUCCUAAGCCAGUCCCGGGCAAGAGCACCCCCAAACUCAACGGCAGCGGACCCAGCUGGUGGCCAGAGUGCACCUGUACCAACCGGGACUGGUAUGAGCAGGUGAAUGGCAGUGAUGGCAUGUUCAAAUAUGAGGAAAUCGUACUUGAGAGGGGCAACUCUGGCCUGGGCUUCAGUAUCGCAGGUGGCAUCGACAAUCCCCAUGUCCCUGAUGACCCUGGCAUCUUUAUUACCAAGAUUAUCCCUGGUGGAGCAGCUGCCAUGGAUGGGAGGCUGGGGGUGAAUGACUGUGUGCUGCGGGUGAAUGAGGUGGACGUGUCGGAGGUGGUACACAGCCGGGCGGUGGAGGCGCUGAAGGAGGCAGGCCCUGUGGUGCGAUUGGUGGUGCGGAGGCGACAGCCUCCACCCGAGACCAUCAUGGAGGUCAACCUGCUCAAAGGGCCCAAAGGCCUGGGUUUCAGCAUUGCUGGGGGUAUUGGCAACCAGCACAUCCCAGGAGACAACAGCAUCUACAUCACCAAGAUCAUUGAGGGGGGUGCUGCUCAGAAGGAUGGACGCCUACAGAUUGGGGACCGGCUGCUGGCGGUGAGACAGACUUCAUGGGGAUGCCCAAAUGGUAGGGUAGGGAGGAGGAGCUCCAGUACCCCUUACUCCGCCUAAACCUCACUCAGGGAUGAGGCAUCAUGGGGGAAUUUCAAGAGUUAUCAUCUGUGUUGUGUUUGCCCAGAUACAAAGGCCCUAAUUCUUUCUGUGGCCAGGGUCUUGCCCUAUCCCCUACCUCCUGCCUCUGCUCCUCACAGCACUAUACUUGGGCCUCUGUUAGCAUGCUGUUGAAUUUCACUGAAAAGGCAUCCCUCGAGUUCCCUGGAGAAGCCUCUCCUUCUUCCAAGUCCCAGCCUGAGGCCUCUCCUCUUCUAGGUGAACAACACCAAUCUGCAGGAUGUGAGGCACGAGGAAGCUGUGGCCUCACUGAAGAACACAUCUGAUAUGGUGUAUUUGAAGGUGGCCAAGCCAGGCAGCCUCCACCUCAACGACAUGUACGCUCCCCCUGACUACGCCAGCACUUUUACUGCCUUGGCUGACAACCACAUAAGCCAUAAUUCCAGCCUGGGUUAUCUCGGGGCUGUGGAGAGCAAGGUCAGCUACCCUGCUCCUCCUCAGGUUCCCCCCACCCGCUACUCUCCUAUUCCCAGGCACAUGCUGGCUGAGGAGGACUUCACCAGAGAGCCUCGCAAGAUCAUCCUGCACAAAGGCUCCACAGGCCUGGGCUUCAACAUCGUAGGAGGAGAGGAUGGAGAAGGCAUUUUUGUCUCCUUCAUCCUGGCAGGAGGCCCAGCUGACCUGAGUGGGGAGCUGCGCAGGGGAGACCGGAUCUUAUCGGUGAAUGGAGUGAAUCUGAGGAAUGCAACUCAUGAGCAGGCUGCAGCUGCUCUGAAACGGGCCGGCCAGUCAGUCACCAUUGUAGCCCAGUACAGACCUGAAGAAUACAGUCGCUUUGAAUCGAAGAUACAUGACUUACGAGAACAAAUGAUGAACAGCAGCAUGAGCUCUGGGUCUGGGUCCCUCCGAACAAGUGAAAAGAGGUCCUUGUAUGUCAGGGCCCUGUUUGAUUAUGAUCGGACUCGGGACAGCUGCCUGCCAAGCCAGGGGCUCAGCUUCUCUUAUGGUGACAUUCUGCAUGUCAUUAAUGCCUCUGAUGAUGAGUGGUGGCAGGCAAGGCUGGUGACCCCACACGGAGAAAGUGAGCAGAUCGGUGUGAUCCCCAGUAAGAAGAGGGUGGAAAAGAAAGAAAGAGCUCGAUUGAAAACUGUGAAGUUCCAUGCCAGGACGGGGAUGAUUGAGUCUAACAGGUCGAUCAAAACGAAACGUAAAAAGAGUUUCCGCCUCUCUCGAAAGUUUCCAUUUUACAAGAGCAAAGAAAACAUGGCCCAGGAGAGCAGCAUACAGGAACAGGGAGUGACAUCCAACACCAGUGACAGCGAAAGCAGUUCCAAAGGACAAGAGGAUGCUAUUUUGUCAUAUGAGCCAGUGACACGGCAAGAAAUUCACUAUGCAAGGCCUGUGAUCAUCCUGGGCCCAAUGAAGGACCGAGUCAAUGAUGACCUGAUCUCCGAAUUUCCACAUAAAUUUGGAUCCUGUGUGCCACAUACUACCCGGCCUCGACGUGAUAAUGAGGUGGAUGGACAAGACUACCACUUUGUGGUGUCCCGAGAACAAAUGGAGAAAGAUAUUCAGGACAACAAGUUCAUUGAGGCGGGCCAAUUUAAUGAUAACCUCUAUGGGACCAGCAUCCAGUCAGUGCGGGCAGUUGCAGAGAGGGGCAAGCACUGCAUCUUAGAUGUUUCCGGCAAUGCUAUCAAGAGACUGCAGCAAGCACAACUUUACCCCAUUGCCAUUUUCAUCAAGCCCAAGUCCAUUGAAGCCCUUAUGGAAAUGAACCGAAGGCAGACAUAUGAACAAGCAAAUAAGAUCUAUGACAAAGCCAUGAAACUGGAGCAGGAAUUUGGAGAGUACUUUACGGCCAUUGUACAGGGUGACUCACUGGAAGAGAUUUAUAACAAAAUCAAACAAAUCAUUGAGGACCAGUCUGGGCACUACAUUUGGGUCCCAUCCCCUGAAAAACUCUGAAGAAUCCCCUCCAACCAUUCUCUUGUGAACAGAAGAAAUCAAGUCCCUCUUCCCUCCUCCCUCUUCAUUCCUGUCCCCAUGGGGAGAACAAAUGCUACUGUUCUUGUCCCCUUUUUUAGAUAUGUCAAAAAAAAUUAAGUUUUCUAGUCCUGUUCUUUUUUUUUUAAGUUUUUGUUUGUUUCAGUUUAUUUUUUGGGAUGAUGCCAUCUCAUUCAUCAUGUGACUGUGCCCAUUCCUGCAUGGACCUUUCCCAAGCGCUAGCACAGGUGCAAAAUCCAUCAGAGCCAUUGUUUUCAUAAAAACCAAGCAGAAGUGAAGAGAAAAGAGGAGGACUGAUGGAAAGACAGACUCUGGACAGCUGCACGGCUUGUGAAGUGAGCUAAAUGCACCACAUGAUGAGAUGCUCCUGGGCAUUUCUCCCUAUCUGUACUGCUGUCUUGCAGCUCUGAACGGUGCAACGUAAUGGCGACAGAAAGUAUCUUAUUUAUAUAUAGAUAUAUAUAUGUAAUUUAUAUAAAAUAUAUAGAAAUUAUUAUAUAUAUAUAUUAUACACUCUCAUAUAAUAUAUAUAUAUUCACACACAUUUGGGUUAGAAAAUCUAUGGAGACUUCAUCAAUGGUACUAUGUUAUUAGAGAAAUGCUUUAAUUUUCAUAUUCCAAUCAGAUGGCAUCUUCUAUCCCAGCUGGUUGGGAAGGGAUUGAAGAUGGUAGCAAGUGCUGCACUAAGGGCACUCGCAUUUGGUCAUUCUCUUGAGAGCUAGGAGGGGUCAGCCUGAGGCCGGAGAGGAAGGGCUUUUGCCUGGGGUGAGAGGGUGAGAGACUUGACCUGAAAGCAGCUGCUGCCCCUGAGGUGCAGCCAGAGUCCUGUGUGCGGACAGAGAGAAUGGCUAAUGAUGCUCCGCGUGGAAUUGCCUAUUGUUUUAUGCCACCUGAUGUGUCUGCAUGAGAGGUUUCCUUUUUGUUCCUUUUUAAGCUGCUGUUAAACCAAAACCAUGUUGUGCUACUGUGUCAGCCUUUUCAUUAUUGCAAAUUUUACUUUUACUAUUUAAGUGAAUGCAUAGAAUCCAAUUUGCCAAGGUUCUAAAGGCUUAUGAGGUCCUGAAGGAGCCAGGCCUUGUGAUGGAGUAGGUGACACAGGCCUGGUUGUCCUGUCAGCAGAAGGGAAAGCAGGGGCUGGGCUGAGAGGAGGACACGGAGGGCUCUGCUGAGGUUCCUUCCUGGGUUCCACCAACAGGGACAGGGAGUCACUUGCCUUCCAGUUCUGUGCUGGGAUGGCGGGACAGCACUUGGCUUGCUUGGCCAGCUGCGUCAUGAGUUUGAUUUGGUUUUUUUUUUUUGCAGCUGCUUCAUAUGCUCUGCUCCAGCCCCUCCCCAACAGCUGGUAGCUUAUGGUUUCUUCAAGAGGAAAGUAGACUUUAUGCUGUACAUUUGAGCUGUAGAGCUAAGAUUCGCUUACUGGUGAGCUGUGAAAUCUUGUUGCUUUUUCCCAGAGUCUGAUGGCAGUGACUGUGGUCAAGGGAAUCUUCACCGCCACAAGUGCAGGCAGCAGGUGUGGUUCAGGUCCCCCCCCACCCCACUGUGCUCCUUUGAAGCCAACGUGCCUCCCUCGCCUCCAUACUGGAGGGACGACGCAGGGGAGAACAGAGAAGUGCUUGGCCCUAGGAUUGAGGCAC